AUACGUAGGGUGCAAGCGUUAAUCGGAAUUACUGGGCGUAAAGCGUGCGCAGGCGGUUUUGUAAGACAGAGGUGAAAUCCCCGGGCUCAACCUGGGAACUGCCUUUGUGACUGCAAGGCUAGAGUACGGCAGAGGGGGAUGGAAUUCCGCGUGUAGCAGUGAAAUGCGUAGAUAUGCGGAGGAACACCGAUGGCGAAGGCAAUCCCCUGGGCCUGUACUGACGCUCAUGCACGAAAGCGUGGGGAGCAAACAGGAUUAGAUACCCUGGUAGUCCACGCCCUAAACGAUGUCAACUGGUUGUUGGGUCUUAACUGACUCAGUAACGAAGCUAACGCGUGGAGUUGACCGCCUGGGGAGUACGGCCGCAAGGUUGAAACUCAAAUGAAUUGGCGGGG
This 395-nucleotide ribosomal RNA is filed under the name uncultured bacterium. RNAcentral's name for it is "partial 16S ribosomal RNA". It matches the Rfam family "Bacterial small subunit ribosomal RNA", at positions 523 to 918 of the family's 1533-position model. The record is from RNAcentral.